This 318-nucleotide long non-coding RNA is filed under the name Cavia porcellus (domestic guinea pig). Its description in RNAcentral is "lncRNA (ENSCPOG00000037108.1)". The record is from RNAcentral. Lineage: Eukaryota; Metazoa; Chordata; Mammalia; Rodentia; Caviidae.
AUCGCUUGUACAUCAUCUUAUUAUUUUUCUCCACGCAGCCUCAAGGCCCAGUUACGUCACUUCCUCUGCUCUAGAAUGAUUCCCUUCCUCUCCCUCCUACCUCAGCUGGAAGGAGCAGGCCAGGCACCUUGUAACCACACAGUCAAAGUUCCUUCCAGAAAACAGGCAAAGGCACACACAGGCAGGCAGUUGCUCAGAGACAAGCCUCAGGGACAUCCGCCUCCUAUCUCCCUACAACUCAGCCUCGGAAAGGGGAUGGAAGACAGGAGUUAAAAAUCAUAACAGGCUCCAUUCCUAAACUGGUUUGCAAUUAUUGAG